This is a non-coding RNA of Arachis ipaensis, 662 nucleotides long. The record is from RefSeq and is a predicted model, not a curated record. NCBI's taxonomy places the organism in Eukaryota, Viridiplantae, Streptophyta, Magnoliopsida, Fabales, Fabaceae.
UGGUCAGCAGCAAAUACUGUGAAUCGAGCACCAAAUAUUGGAAGUUCCAUGCACACUGGUGGUUCCAUAUUUAUGGGUGAACAUGCACGCAGAAUGGUAAGAUAAAAAUAGUUUAAUUUUAGUCUUGUUCUUAUUAUGUGCAAUGUUUUCUUAUUCUUUUUUCUUUCCUAUCGAUUAAAACUAUUAUAUUAUAGGAAAAAGCUACGGGAGUAAAACCUUCUCUAGAGGAGGUUUAUACUAAAUGCCACACCAAAAAGGAUAAAAGUUGGAUUGAUGAAAGAUCUGAGAAAGUCAUUGGUGAAUUUAAAAAGUGAAAGACAGAACUUUCUCAAGUAGCUUUAUCCUUGGAUAAUGAGGGAGAUGUUGAGGCAUCUAAGGAAAGCUUAGAUAUACCAGAUGAUUACACUAUUUGGAACGAAGUUGUGACAAAGGAAAAAAAGAAAGAUGCUUUUGGUUUAGGUUCUUUUGGUUUAGAUCUCUCUUCAAAGUUAGAUUCCAGAAAUUGCUCAGAGACAUCCAAAGACAAUCUAAAUAUUGAGCAAGAACUUCACAUGUGGAAAGAAAAGGCAAAGGAGAAAGAAAUGAUCAAUGAAGAGCAAAAGGUUAAGUUGAAUGAUGCUAAGCAUAAGUUAAAAGAAUAAGGACGUCAACUAAAAGCUCAA